GACGAACGCUGGCGGCGUGCUUAACACAUGCAAGUCGAACGGAAAGGCCCUGCUUUUGUGGGGUGCUCGAUUGGCGAACGGGUGAGUAACACGUGAGUAACCUGCCCUUGACUUUGUGAUAACUUCAGGAAACUGGGGCUAAUACCGGAUAGGAGCUCCUGCUGCAUGGUGUGGGUUGGAAAGUUUCGGCGGUUGGGGCUGGUCUCGCGGCUUAUCAGCUUGUUGGGGGGGUUGUGGAUUACCAAGGCUUUGACGGGUAGCCUGCGUGAGAGGGGUACCGGACACAUUGGGACUGAGAUACGGCCCAGAAUCCUACGGGAGGCAGUAGUGGGGAAUAUUGCACAAUGGGCGGAAGCCUGAUGCAGCAACGCCGCGUGCGGGAUGACGGCCUUCGGGUUGUAAACCGCUUUCGCCUGUGACGAAGCGUGAGUGACGGUAAUGGGUAAAGAAGCACCGGCUAACUACGUG
This 468-nucleotide ribosomal RNA is filed under the name uncultured bacterium. RNAcentral's name for it is "partial 16S ribosomal RNA". It matches the Rfam family "Bacterial small subunit ribosomal RNA", at positions 28 to 507 of the family's 1533-position model. The record is from RNAcentral.